This 491-nucleotide ribosomal RNA is filed under the name uncultured bacterium. RNAcentral describes it as "partial 16S ribosomal RNA". It matches the Rfam family "Bacterial small subunit ribosomal RNA", at positions 28 to 507 of the family's 1533-position model. The record is from RNAcentral.
GAUGAACGCUGGCUACAGGCUUAACACAUGCCAGUCGAGGGGAAACGACGGGGAAGCUUGCUUCCCCGGGCGUCGACCGGCGCACGGGUGAGUAACGCGUAACCAACCUGCCUCUGACUGAGGGAUAACCCGUCGCAAGUCGGCCUACUGCCUAAUGGCAUCGUCUGCGGGCAUCCAACGGCGAGUCAAGUUUUCAUUGGUUAGUGCUGGGGCUGCUUCUGCUUGGCUAGGUGGCGGGGUAACGGCCCACCAAAGCGACGGUCAGUAAGGGUUCUGGUGGGAAGGCCCCCCACAUUGGAACUGAGACACGGGCCAAUCUCCUACGGGAGGCAGCAGUGAGGAAUAUUGGGCAAUGGGCGAGAGCCUGAACCAGCCAAGUAGCGUGCAGGAUGACGGCCCUAUGGGUUGUAAACUGCUUUUAUGCGGGGAUAAAGUGAGGGACGUGUCCUUCAUUGCAGGUACCGCAUGAAUAAGGACCGGCUAAUUCCGUG